GACGAACGCUGGCGGCGUGCUUAACACAUGCAAGUCGAACGAUGAACCACUUCGGUGGGGAUUAGUGGCGAACGGGUGAGUAACACGUGGGCAAUCUGCCCUUCACUCUGGGACAAGCCCUGGAAACGGGGUCUAAUACCGGAUAACACUGGCCACGGGGCAUCUGUGGUGGUUAAAAGCUCCGGCGGUGAAGGAUGAGCCCGNGGCCUAUCAGCUUGUUGGUGAGGUAAUGGCNCACCAAGGCGACGACGGGUAGCCGGCCCUGAGAGGGCGACCGGCCACACUGGGACUGAGACCACGGCCCAGACUCCUACGGGAGGCAGCAGUGGGGAAUAUUGCACAAUGGGC
RNAcentral lists this ribosomal RNA (348 nucleotides) under uncultured bacterium. Its description in RNAcentral is "bacterial SSU rRNA". It matches the Rfam family "Bacterial small subunit ribosomal RNA", at positions 28 to 376 of the family's 1533-position model. The record is from RNAcentral.